This 504-nucleotide long non-coding RNA is filed under the name Salmo salar (Atlantic salmon). Its description in RNAcentral is "lncRNA (ENSSSAG00000115412.1)". The record is from RNAcentral. Lineage: Eukaryota; Metazoa; Chordata; Actinopteri; Salmoniformes; Salmonidae.
GGGGGGAAACCAUCGGUGAUGGGGGAACUAAGUUCCAGAUUGCAGCAGCUGAAUAAGGAUACCAGGUCACUGGGGGAGGAGGAGCCACUGGGGUCAUCGCUGGACCCUGGGAGGAAGUCCCCUGUGACAGGCGCCAGUAAUCAAGAAUCAAGAAGGAAUCCAACACCUUUUGGGUGGAUGAAGCAAGGUUCCAUUAGGCUACACAGCUUUUACAUAUCCACUCAGCUCUUACUGUUCAAAUAGUUCCACGUUAGGUUAAAAACAAAGCAUAAAAAAAUGUGUAAAUAUUGAAUUCUAAUGAUCACUGCUGGGUGUGUUGUGCAUGGUUUGCUCUUUCCCAUGACAAAGUAUGCCACUGCCGCCCUAUCCCCUGCACAGCCGACUGCAGUGGUAAGUAAAUAAGAGAGACUGAGGGUUGAAGACACACCUAGCCAAUGGUACGAUGCUAGCGUUAGUCUUCCUUAGCAAUGCUAGGUCAAACAGGCCCUUUCAUUAGCAAUCCCC